RNAcentral lists this ribosomal RNA (523 nucleotides) under uncultured bacterium. RNAcentral describes it as "bacterial SSU rRNA". It matches the Rfam family "Bacterial small subunit ribosomal RNA", at positions 355 to 896 of the family's 1533-position model. The record is from RNAcentral.
UGGGGAAUAUUGGACAAUGGGGGAAACCCUGAUCCAGCCAUGCCGCGUGAGUGAUGAAGGCCUUAGGGUUGUAAAGCUCUUUCAGCGGGGAAGAUGAUGACGGUACCCGCAGAAGAAGCCCCGGCUAACUUCGUGCCAGCGGCCGCGGUAAUACGAAGGGGGCUAGCGUUGUUCGGAAUUACUGGGCGUAAAGGGCGCGUAGGCGGCGCGGUCAGUUGGGUGUGAAAGGCCCGGGCUCAACCCGGGAUGUGCGCUCGAUACUGCCGCGCUGGAGUCCGGGAGAGGAUGGCGGAAUUCCCAGUGUAGAGGUGAAAUUCGUAGAUAUUGGGAAGAACACCGGUGGCGAAGGCGGCCAUCUGGACCGGCACUGACGCUGAGGCGCGAAAGCGUGGGGAGCAAACAGGAUUAGAUACCCUGGUAGUCCACGCCGUAAACGAUGCGUGCUAGACGUUGGGGGGCUUGCCCUUCAGUGUCGCAGCUAACGCGUGAAGCACGCCGCCUGGGGAGUACGGCCGCAAGGUUA